GGUGACUCAGUGGUAGAGUGCUUGCCUUGCAUGCAUGAGGCACUGGGUUCGAUUCCUCAGCACCA
Molecule: transfer RNA, 65 nt
Filed under: Dipodomys ordii (Ord's kangaroo rat)
Lineage: Eukaryota; Metazoa; Chordata; Mammalia; Rodentia; Heteromyidae
Rfam family: tRNA
About the family: Transfer RNA (tRNA) molecules are approximately 80 nucleotides in length. Their secondary structure includes four short double-helical elements and three loops (D, anti-codon, and T loops). Further hydrogen bonds mediate the characteristic L-shaped molecular structure. tRNAs have two regions of fundamental functional importance: the anti-codon, which is responsible for specific mRNA codon recognition, and the 3' end, to which the tRNAs corresponding amino acid is attached (by aminoacyl-tRNA synthetases). tRNAs cope with the degeneracy of the genetic code in two manners: having more than one tRNA (with a specific anti-codon) for a particular amino acid; and 'wobble' base-pairing, i.e. permitting non-standard base-pairing at the 3rd anti-codon position.
Source: Rfam by way of RNAcentral